GCUACGGGGUGCAGCAGUGGGGAAUAUUGGGCAAUGGAGGCAACUCUGACCCAGCAACGCCGCGUGAAUGAUGAAGGUCUUCGGAUUGUAAAGUUCUGUGAUGGGGGAUGAACACAAUGACGGUACCCCAAUAGCAAGCCACGGCUAACUACGUGCCAGCAGCCGCGGUAAUACGUAGGUGGCAAGCGUUAUCCGGAAUGACUGGGCGUAAAGGGUGCGUAGGUGGUUUAGUAAGUUGGCGGUGUAAUUCAGGGGCUCAAACUCGGCGCUACCGCGAAAACUAUUAGACUAGAGUGCAGGAGGGGUAAUUUGAAUUCCUAGUGUAGCGGGGGAAAGCGUAGGUAUUAGGAGGAACAUCAGGGGCGAAGGCGACUUACUGGACUGUAACUGACACUGGGGCACGAAAUCGUGGGGAGCAAACAGGAUUAGAUACCCUAGUAGUC
This 443-nucleotide ribosomal RNA is filed under the name uncultured bacterium. RNAcentral describes it as "partial 16S ribosomal RNA". It matches the Rfam family "Bacterial small subunit ribosomal RNA", at positions 338 to 795 of the family's 1533-position model. The record is from RNAcentral.